GUGACAUUGAGGGUGCCUUUGGUAGUUUUCCAUUAUAAAAUGAUUUUUUUGAUAUUUUUAUAAAAUGAGGGUAGCUAUAUGAUAAUGACCUUUAACAUUUGUCUAUAUAAACAGUUGAUUCGGUGGCCGGUCAUAUACUCCCAUUAAAAACUUAAUAAAAGAAGGGGACCCUUUAUUUUUAUUAUAUCUUUUUGUAAAUUAGAAAGCCAAUUGCUUGUCAAAAACUUUCAAGCUUCUUGCUUUCUGAUUCUGGCUGUGUGUGUCGAGAUGGUGCUGCCGCCUGUUUUGACAAUCGUAAUUCUGCAACUGCAAGCCUCAGGGAGGAAAGUGCAAACGUUGUCCCUGCCUCUGCCUCUGCCUCGAUCAUGAAUCUCAACUUCUAUUGGGAUGCAAUCAAAGCUGAAAGCACGGGUCCAAAUUAGGAUGUAGAAGUCUUUAUUUAAAAUAUUUAUUUUAUUUUAUUUGCAUCUCAAAUCAACUUAUUUAAAGUAACUUUGGGGAUAAAAAUGUAAUUUUCGUUCUAAUUUGUUUUUUAAUUUUAUUUAAAGCAUAUGGGGUCAAAUUCAAAUUUUAUUGGGGGAUGAUUCUAUUCGGUUAAAGUAUAAAUGUAAUUUAAAAAAAAAAAGAAGAAUUAGACUCGGCUCCACAAUAUGUGUAUAUAUUUUUUAAGAUAGAGAGGUAGACAAAGUUUAAAUAAAUUUUUUUAUCUUCUACCUUCCUUAAGAUUCAAAUUCAUGUAGCCAGUUAAAUAAAUCUACAUAAAAAUCACUUAGGUAGUCCCUAAAGAUAGUGUAAUUGUGCUGCUAUGCUCAAUUAAUACUUUUAACAGAUGAUUAUUUUAACAGCUAAUUACUAUUAAUUUUUAAUAAAAAGUUGUACGAUUAACAAACAAAAUCUAAAUAACAAAUAUAAUUUUGACUUUUUAGAAAAUUUGUUAAAAAAUAGAUUUCUCUAUGAUAUGUUAAAAGAACUACAGUUUCAAUAGUGGGGUUAUUAUGAACCAUUUGAUUUAAAAUGAAAUACUUCCAAUAGAUAGUUAGUUGUUACCCAAAUCACAAGUAAUCCUUAAAUCUUAAUUUAAUUUGUAUUUAGCUUAUAUCCUAUUGUUACAAUUUUUUUAUAAGUCAUAAAUAAUUAUUUUUAAUCAUUGAUUCAUUGUA
Molecule: long non-coding RNA, 1160 nt
Filed under: Citrus x clementina
Lineage: Eukaryota; Viridiplantae; Streptophyta; Magnoliopsida; Sapindales; Rutaceae
Description: Citrus clementina (C. clementina) long non-coding RNA (CCLE_LNC003094)
Source: RNAcentral